Molecule: non-coding RNA, 131 nt
Organism: Spinacia oleracea (spinach)
Lineage: Eukaryota; Viridiplantae; Streptophyta; Magnoliopsida; Caryophyllales; Amaranthaceae
Source: Rfam
UAUUGGUUUAGUUAAGGGGCAUAAACCAAUUUGGAUCAAAUGUUGUAUUUGAUCCUUAUUUGCUAAGGCCUUCUUAUUAUGGGGACUGUUUUUAUGCUUUGGAUUGUCCUCUUAAGUAGUCUUGGACAUUU